RNAcentral lists this unclassified non-coding RNA (209 nucleotides) under plant metagenome. RNAcentral describes it as "partial contains small subunit ribosomal RNA and internal transcribed spacer 1". The stretch from base 1 to 46 matches the Rfam family "Eukaryotic small subunit ribosomal RNA", at positions 1786 to 1831 of the family's 1831-position model. The record is from RNAcentral.
AAGUCGUAACAAGGUUUCCGUAGGUGAACCUGCGGAAGGAUCAUUACAGAGUUCAUGCCCGAAAGGGUAGACCUCCCACCCUUGUGUAUUUAUACUUUGUUGCUUUGGCAGGCCGCCGCAAGGCUCCCGGCUUCGGCUGGGGCGUGCCCGCCAGAGGACCAUCAAACUCUGAAUGUUAGUGUCGUCUGAGUACUAUAUAAUAGUUAAAA